AAUCACUAACCACACGGCCAGG
Molecule: microRNA, 22 nt
Filed under: Dasypus novemcinctus (nine-banded armadillo)
Lineage: Eukaryota; Metazoa; Chordata; Mammalia; Cingulata; Dasypodidae
Also listed under: 16 other names
Description: dno-miR-34c-3p
Gene: dno-miR-34c-3p
Source: miRBase by way of RNAcentral